UUUCCGUAGGUGAACCUGCGGAGGGAUCAUUACUGAGUCUGACAACCCCGCGACCCCCUGUCCACACACGUCUAUUGUUUCUUGGUGAUUGCGUCAGCCCGCCUCACGGCCGCCCGGGGCCAUCUGCCCCCCGGCGCCCGCCAGCCGAUGACACCCUUGAACUCUGUCUGUGGUUUGCACACUGAGCGAAAACUAAAUAAGCUAAAACUUUCAACAACGGAUCUCCUUGUUCCGAGAUCGCAGAAGAACGGAGAAGCACACAAGAGAACACGUGUGAAC
This 279-nucleotide unclassified non-coding RNA is filed under the name plant metagenome. Its description in RNAcentral is "partial contains small subunit ribosomal RNA, internal transcribed spacer 1, and 5.8S ribosomal RNA". The record is from RNAcentral.